UGCUAUUGCCAUGGAAACACCAAGGG
RNAcentral lists this non-coding RNA (26 nucleotides) under Homo sapiens (human). The record is from RNAcentral. Lineage: Eukaryota; Metazoa; Chordata; Mammalia; Primates; Hominidae.